CUACGUAGGGUGCAAGCGUUAAUCGGAAUUACUGGGCGUAAAGCGUGCGCAGGCGGUUUUGUAAGACAGUGGUGAAAUCCCCGGGCUCGACCUGGGAACUGCCAUUGUGACUGCAAGGCUGGAGUGCGGCAGAGGGGGAUGGAAUUCCGCGUGUAGCAGUGAAAUGCGUAGAUAUGCGGAGGAACACCGAUGGCGAAGGCAAUCCCCUGGGCCUGCACUGACGCUCAUGCACGAAAGCGUGGGGAGCAAACAGGAUUAGAUACCCUGGUAGUCCACGCCCUAAACGAUGUCAACUGGUUGUUGGGGAUUUAUUUUCUCAGUAACGAAGCUAACGCGUGAAGUUGACCGCCUGGGGAGUACGGCCGCAAGGUUAAAACUCAAAGGAAUUGACGGGG
RNAcentral lists this ribosomal RNA (395 nucleotides) under uncultured bacterium. Its description in RNAcentral is "partial 16S ribosomal RNA". It matches the Rfam family "Bacterial small subunit ribosomal RNA", at positions 523 to 918 of the family's 1533-position model. The record is from RNAcentral.